Molecule: ribosomal RNA, 1115 nt
Filed under: Burkholderia cepacia
Lineage: Bacteria; Pseudomonadati; Pseudomonadota; Betaproteobacteria; Burkholderiales; Burkholderiaceae
Also listed under: 1 other name
Description: 23S rRNA. Bacterial LSU
Rfam family: Bacterial large subunit ribosomal RNA
Source: RNAcentral
UAAAAACACAGCACUCUGCAAACACGAAAGUGGACGUAUAGGGUGUGACGCCUGCCCGGUGCCGGAAGAUUAAAUGAUGGGGUGCAAGCUCUUGAUUGAAGUCCCGGUAAACGGCGGCCGUAACUAUAACGGUCCUAAGGUAGCGAAAUUCCUUGUCGGGUAAGUUCCGACCUGCACGAAUGGCGUAACGAUGGCCACACUGUCUCCUCCCGAGACUCAGCGAAGUUGAAGUGUUUGUGAUGAUGCAAUCUACCCGCGGCUAGACGGAAAGACCCCAUGAACCUUUACUGUAGCUUUGCAUUGGACUUUGAACCGAUCUGUGUAGGAUAGGUGGGAGGCUAUGAAACCGGAACGCUAGUUUCGGUGGAGCCGUCCUUGAAAUACCACCCUGGUUUGUUUGAGGUUCUAACCUUGGCCCGUGAUCCGGGUCGGGGACAGUGCAUGGUAGGCAGUUUGACUGGGGCGGUCUCCUCCCAAAGCGUAACGGAGGAGUACGAAGGUACGCUAGGUACGGUCGGAAAUCGUGCUGAUAGUGCAAUGGCAUAAGCGUGCUUAACUGCGAGACCGACAAGUCGAGCAGGUGCGAAAGCAGGUCAUAGUGAUCCGGUGGUUCUGUAUGGAAGGGCCAUCGCUCAACGGAUAAAAGGUACUCUGGGGAUAACAGGCUGAUACCGCCCAAGAGUUCAUAUCGACGGCGGUGUUUGGCACCUCGAUGUCGGCUCAUCUCAUCCUGGGGCUGUAGCCGGUCCCAAGGGUAUGGCUGUUCGCCAUUUAAAGAGGUACGUGAGCUGGGUUUAAAACGUCGUGAGACAGUUUGGUCCCUAUCUGCCGUGGGCGUUGGAUAUUUGAAGGGGGCUGCUCCUAGUACGAGAGGACCGGAGUGGACGAACCUCUGGUGUACCGGUUGUCACGCCAGUGGCAUCGCCGGGUAGCUAUGUUCGGAAGAGAUAACCGCUGAAAGCAUCUAAGCGGGAAACUCGCCUUAAGAUGAGAUAUCCCUGGGGACUAGAUCCCCUUGAAGGGUCGUUCGAGACCAGGACGUUGAUAGGUCAGGUGUGUAAGCGCAGUAAUGCGUUCAGCUAACUGAUACUAAUUGCCCGUAAGGCUUGAUCCUA